GCCUUCGUUUGUCCGAGAAGCAGGUCAAAAUCUGGUUCCAGAACCGACGGGUGAAGCGCAAGAAGGGCGAUGCUCC
RNAcentral lists this microRNA precursor (76 nucleotides) under Aedes aegypti (yellow fever mosquito). RNAcentral describes it as "partial AAEL017934-RA". Lineage: Eukaryota; Metazoa; Arthropoda; Insecta; Diptera; Culicidae. The record is from RNAcentral.